This 460-nucleotide ribosomal RNA is filed under the name uncultured bacterium. Its description in RNAcentral is "partial 16S ribosomal RNA". It matches the Rfam family "Bacterial small subunit ribosomal RNA", at positions 338 to 795 of the family's 1533-position model. The record is from RNAcentral.
CCUACGGGAGGCAGCAGUGAGGAAUAUUGGUCAAUGGACGAGAGUCUGAACCAGCCAAGUAGCGUGAAGGAUGACUGCCCUAUGGGUUGUAAACUUCUUUUAUAUAGGAAUAAAAUGUUCCACGUGUGGGAUUUUGUAUGUACCAUAUGAAUAAGGAUCGGCUAACUCCGUGCCAGCAGCCGCGGUAAUACGGAGGAUCCGAGCGUUAUCCGGAUUUAUUGGGUUUAAAGGGAGCGUAGGUGGAUUGUUAAGUCAGUUGUGAAAGUUUGCGGCUCAACCGUAAAAUUGCAGUUGAAACUGGCAGUCUUGAGUACAGUAGAGGUGGGCGGAAUUCGUGGUGUAGCGGUGAAAUGCUUAGAUAUCACGAAGAACUCCGAUUGCGAAGGCAGUUCACUGGACUGCAACUGACACUGAGGCUCGAAAGUGUGGGUAUCAAACAGGAUUAGAUACCCGAGUAGUC